AUUGAACGCUGGCGGCAUGCCUUACACAUGCAAGUCGAACGGUAGAGUAGCAAUCCUGGUGGCGAGUGGCGAACGGGUGAGUAAUAUAUCGGAACGUGCCCAGUCGUGGGGAUAACGUAGCGAAAGCUACGCUAAUACCGCAUACGAUCUAUGGAUGAAAGCGGGGGAUCGCAAGACCUCGCGCGAUUGGAGCGGCCGAUAUCAGAUUAGGUAGUUGGUGAGGUAAAGGCUCACCAAGCCGACGAUCUGUAGCUGGUCUGAGAGGACGACCAGCCACACUGGGACUGAGACACGGCCCAGACUCCUACGGGAGGCAGCAGUGGGGAAUUUUGGACAAUGGGCGCAAGCCUGAUCCAGCAAUGCCGCGUGCAGGAUGAAGGCCUU
RNAcentral lists this ribosomal RNA (384 nucleotides) under uncultured bacterium. Its description in RNAcentral is "bacterial SSU rRNA". It matches the Rfam family "Bacterial small subunit ribosomal RNA", at positions 30 to 418 of the family's 1533-position model. The record is from RNAcentral.